Non-coding RNA from Salmo salar (Atlantic salmon), 4991 nucleotides. Lineage: Eukaryota; Metazoa; Chordata; Actinopteri; Salmoniformes; Salmonidae. The record is from RefSeq and is a predicted model, not a curated record.
GCGCAACAAAAUUCAGGCGGAAACUGAAGAGCGGAUGAGUUGAGUCGACCGCGUUUUGCGAGUGUCGGCUUGACGGCAGUGAAACAACGACAUCGUUUUAUGUAUCAUAAACACGAUAUGAGCGUCCUGCAAAUGUACUUGUCAAAAUGCGGUUACAUUUGUAGCUAUUACUAUUAGCUGACUUACAUUGCUGACUUCUAUAUUUUGUUGCUGAGUUCCCAAACAAGUAAACUUCAUCCGUGACAGUUAAAUUCAAGCAGUUGUCAGUCAUCGGAUCCAGAAUUGAACCGGGUGAGCAUCUGGAUCAUGUCAGAUUUAUGUUGGUAAUGCCAAUAUUGUCCUCAAUGUCUCGUAGUUGGCAAACCAGCAGGAAGAUAGUUUAUUUAGUGAUGCUUCUUGACUUUAAAUAGCUGAGUUGCCAUAGGUAGCUAAAUUAGAUAGCUAGCAAAUUAGCUCGGGUGAUCCAAACUGCAAUGACAAUCAAGCUACUGUAAUUUCUCUAGCAGCACUGCCAGCAUAUAACAUGUUUUCUCUGUAACUAUUUUCAGAAGAUUGGAGUCUUGUAUUUAUUUGUAAGCGAGUAGCUCACCAUGAUCAUAAUCACUUAUGCAAUGUUUUGAUGAUGCUAUUUUUAUAUUGGUUACAGCUCUUACUGGUCAUUUUGUUACAGAUGGAUCAAAUGUUAUUAUACACAUAAUAGCCUAAUACAAAUAAACCAUACCAUAUUGUCAUAGGCUAAAUGCACAAAGGGCACUUUCUAUAUUGGUGACACGCAUGACAAUGGCAUGUACUUUGAGCCUGAGGCAAUAGCACUGUAAUCUUGAUGGACAUAGGUCAAUGAAGUGACUAAAAAAGAGUGGUCGCUCUUAUUAUUCCCCUGCACAAGAAAUGGUGAAUGCAAAAACGGUCUACUUUCACAGUGAAAAAAUACCAACUUCCGACCGUUACCCCUAUAAAUUGCAGAAACACACUACUAGGCAUUGAAAGGGGCUUGUAUGUGAAGUCUCCAUCAUUUCAACCUGGUGAUGUGCUGCCUAUGAUCCGUGCUCUUAUCCACAAAAUGGAGACAGGUAAUUGCCCUGCUGGAAACGAGGAGAAACAAACAGUUUCCUCACCUUCAGCUCAACAGGAGAACACUGCUUGUGGUGGACCUGCUGUAGGUGAGCCAGAAAGCCAAAGCCAGUUCUCUAGAGCUGCUUCCAAGGCUUCUUACCCUGAAUCGGAAGACCUGGACUCCUUUAACCUAAUAGAGCCCCCUCCUCUGGACUGGAGGUCAGACGACUCUAGUGAAGCAGGUUCAGUGGAAGAGAUGGACGACCCUAGCUUCCCUCCCUCCUCGGUCCCUGUGGACAGUUUAGAGGACGGAUUAAGUGAGUCCCUACCUCCCUUGUACACCAGUGACACUGCAGCUUCUUCUCUGGUAGUUAGCCAGGAGGAGCUAAUUGACUAUGCUCCUGAGGAUAACACGACAACCAAACAGGUUCUGGAUCCUAGCAAAGAGGGAGGAGAGGUGGGGGAUGAGAUGGAGGAGAAGGUUGAGAUCAGGAGAACAGGUGACAAAGACCACACUCAGAUCCACCACCUGCUAAACCGACUUCAGGUCAUUGGAGGAAGCCCUCUCCCCAGGGACUCAACCUCUGACCCUACACCAUCAGCAUUCUCUGAGCCCUCUGAAUUUGAGCCUCCAGGCCCAUCUCUGUUGAUGGACAUCAGCCCAUUGCUACCAGACCCAGAGCAGAACCCGAAACAGGCCUCGGAGAUGCUUUUCUCAGAGAGUCACCAGAGAGACCUUUUAGGGCUGUUGGAGUGUACAGAGAUAGGGGCUUCCCAGCCCAGUUCCUCUGACAUCAAGGUUCCUCCUUACAUGGCCCGGAGAGGGGAGAUGGACGCGGUGGUGUCGGUCUCCUACAACCAGGAGGAUGGCGAAAGGUUCUGGGAACACUUUGGGAACAGCUGGCGGCUGCGCCACAGGGAUGACUCCAUGGAAUCUUUCCCGGAGGACGAGGUCCCAGAGCCCGUAUGGAUGAAGUUAGGGGAGGAGGCUCCGGAGGAGGUAGACUCUGCAGAGAACAGUAAUCGGGGCGCAGAGGACCGCCCACCCUAUAAAGACGUGCCUGGCCCCUGUGACCCAAAUGACCUCCUGGAUGGGGUCAUAUUUGGGGCCAAGUACCUGGGCUCCACCCAGCUCAAGUCUGACAAGAACCCCUCCACCAACGCUCGAAUGAAACAGUCCCAGGAGGCUGUGGACAGGAUAAAAGCCCCAGACGGAGAGUCUCAGCCUAUGACCGAGGUGGAUCUCUUCAUCUCCACUCAGCGCAUCAAAGUCCUCAGCGCAGACACACAGGAGGCCAUGAUGGACCAUCCUCUCCAGAUGAUCUCCUACAUCGCAGACAUCGGCAGCAUCGUGGUCCUGAUGGCCCGCAGGAAGCCGGCCGGGGGCCGUAAGGGCCAGGAGGGGAACCUUGCUGGGGUCAACUCCCCCGGGCCACAGAAAAAGUGCUGCAUGAUCUGCCAUGUGUUCAACUCUGACGAGGCCCAGGUGAUCGCUCAGGCGAUUGGCCAGGCCUUCGGUGUGGCCUACCAGCAGUUCCUGCAUGCCAACGGCAUCAAGGCCAGUGAGCUAAGGCCCAGCGAGUACAGUGACUACCUGGGGACCCAGGAGCACUACAACGGAGACCUGGUACACUUCUCGGAUUCAGAUAACAUCAGAGAGGUGUCCAUCUCCAAGGCUCCCGGGGAGAUAGUGGGGAUGGCUGUGGUGGAGUCGGGCUGGGGCUCCAUCCUGCCCACGGUGGUGGUGGCCAACCUGCUCCACGGUGGUCCUGCAGAACGCUGUGGGGCCCUCAGCAUAGGAGACCGCAUCAUGUCAGUCAAUGGCACUAGCCUGGUGGGCCUCCCCAUAGCCACCUGCCAGAGUAUAAUCCGGGAUUUUAAAAACCAAGCAGAGGUGAAGCUCAGUAUCGUUCACUGCCCUCCUGUCACCAUGGCAAUUGUCAAGCGACCGGACCCAAAAUUUCAGUUGGGCUUCAGUGUAGAGGACGGGAUUAUUUUUUUUGCUAAGGCCCAGUCCAGUCACUAAUCUGCAGUUUGAUGCGUGGAGGGAUCGCAGAGAGAGGGGGCAUCCGGGUCGGACACCGCAUCAUUGAAAUCAAUGGGCAGAGUGUGGUAGCCACUCCUCACGAGAAGAUCAUCCACAUUUUGACUAACGCAGUCGGGGAGAUUCACUUGAAGACCAUGCCAGCCUCUACAUAUCGCCUUUUAACGGGACAAGAAACGCCAGUAUUUCUCUGAGAGAACGGAGGAGAGAAUGCUGCUGGUGCUCUCAGAAGCCAACAAGGAAGAAUACCAUUUUGAAGCUAUACACAUGCACACACGCAGCCUCAAAUUGGACUAUGCAAAUGGACUGUAUCACCUGGCUAUUGAUACACCACUGAACAUAAUGGGGUUAUCCACCUGAACAGAAUAUUUGAUAAUGUAUAUUGGAAUAUCAGGAUGAUACAGCAAAUGUUUUCAAAGGUAGAAUUGUUAAUAAAUCUCUGUUUAUAUUUGAGAUGUUAAAGCAGAUAACCUCACUUUUCCUAUUGACGAUCUCAGUUAUCUUACUACUAUACUAAUUAUCUUUCUGAACAGGAAAAGCAUGAGUACCUGCAAUGAAUUACUUCCACUGCCAUUCUUUAGUUGCCGAUGUGCCUCAGCUCAGUGGAACUUGAAUUCGUGGAGAGGAGCCUAAUUUAAGAUAGCUGGUCCAUAUCUCUCGUCAUUACGUGCUUCCCACCUCUAGACAAUGCCAUUGAGUAACAUGCACAUCAACAAGCGACUACUUCGUCAGUGUUACAUUGUUAUUAUGUAUCUCCGAACAGUGUACUAUUAAUAUGCUGAAAGAUUUUUACGUUGUGCAUGCCAUUCCCUAUUGUUCCCAUUUCCAUGCCUGGAAGAAUUCAGAACUUAGUUCUGUAUUUUCAGAAUCAAAGGUAACUGCCUUUUAGUGUUAGAGAUAUACACUGAGUGUACAAAAUCUUAAGGACACCUGCUCUUUACAUGACAUAGGCUUACCAGAUGAGUCCAGGUGAAAGCUAUGAUCCCUCAUUGAUGUCACUUGUUAAAUCCAUUUCAAUCAGUGUAGAAAGAUGAAGGGGAGGAAACAGGUUAAAUAAGGAUUUUAAGCCUUGAGACUAUUGAGACAUGGAUUGUGUAUGUGUGCCAUUCAGAGGGUGAAUGGGCAAGACAAAAGAUUUAAGGGGCUUUUGAACAGGGAAACGCUCAACAGCUUUUCCAUGGGUAUCAAGAAUGGUCCACCACAAAAGGAUGUCCAGCCAAUUUGACACCUUGUAGAGUCCAUGCCUGACAAAUUAAGGCUGUUCUGAGGGCAAAAUGUGCUGCAACUCAAUAUUAGGAAGGUGCUCUUAAUGUUUUGUACACUUAUAUAUAUUUUUAAUGACUGCAGUUUUGUAUGUUUAUUAAAUGAUAUAUCCCAAACAAUUGGCAUUUGUUUUUCAAUUUAAUUGAUUAUGAACUGAGGGUGUGUGACUAAACCCUGUAUUGUAUGCUGCUGUUCUGAUGGUAUUGUGUGAUAUGUUAUGUCCGUGUUCUACCUCCAAACUUUAAUAUUUGAUCCAAUAAUGGAAAAAAUGUACACCAAAAAAUGUACAAUAUAACCCUGUGACAAUAUUGAUGUCUUAGAAUGCUCAUGGUGGGUCAUUCUCUACAAUGUAUGGAACUUAUUCUUUACGAGUUUUAGGCCUGACCCUACAGUGACAGGGUGGCAAUGGCAUCUAGCGCCCUACAUAAUUUCUGUGAUGUGGAUAUGGCCCGGCCACAUUAGCCACCACAGGUGAGUACCAGGGUCAUGUAUUAAGGGCACACAAUAGCAAAUCAUAAGGUGAAUGCACCAAUUUGUAAGUCGCUCUGGAUAAGAGCGUCUGCUAAAUGACGUAAAUGCAAAUGUUUCGAAACGUUGUGCAACGGAAUAAAAUGAUCUUGAUGAAUAUUUA